GGGGGUAUAGCUCAGUGGUAGAGCGAGCGCUUAGCAGGCACAAUGUCCUAGGUUCAAUCCCCAGUAUCUCUG
RNAcentral lists this transfer RNA (72 nucleotides) under Camelus bactrianus (Bactrian camel). It matches the Rfam family "tRNA". From Rfam's summary of the family: Transfer RNA (tRNA) molecules are approximately 80 nucleotides in length. Their secondary structure includes four short double-helical elements and three loops (D, anti-codon, and T loops). The record is from Rfam by way of RNAcentral. RNAcentral also lists the same sequence under 2 other names. Lineage: Eukaryota; Metazoa; Chordata; Mammalia; Artiodactyla; Camelidae.